AGCCCUGUUGCCUGGGGAGAGGGUGAUGCUUGACUUUCUUGUACAGCUGCAGUUUGUGUGGUGAAGGUGCUCCCACAAUGUGGUUGGGAUACUACAGGUGGACAUUCAGAUGGUAAUCCCAGUCAUUGUAACACCUAACUCUGAUUGAAUUAGUCAGUUCAUCAGGACCUGUAUAUUCGCAUUGUGUAAUCCUCUCCAAUAAUUUGCCCACAACUGAUGUAAGACUGACUCAUCGAUGAUUCCCAGGAUUAUCUCAAUUGCCUUUCUUGACUAAGGAAAUAACGUUUGCCACCCUCCAAUCAUCUGGUAUGACUCCAGUGGACAGUGAGGAUGCAAAGACCAUCACCAAAACACAGUAAUCACUUCCCUCGCUUCCCAUAACAACCUAAGUCAUAUCCUUUCUGGCCCAGGGGACUUAUCUACCCCCAUGAGUUUUCAAUAUGUUCAGCACAUUCUCCGCCUUAACAUCAACCUGUUCGACCAUAUCAGCCUGUUUCACGCUGUCCUCACAGGAACAAGGUCCCACUCACUCGUGAAUACUGAAGCAAAGUUCUCAUUAAGGACCUCCCCUAUCCCCUCUGACUCCUGGCACAAGUUUGCUUCACUAUAAGGGGUAUUAAUGUGGAAUUAUG
This is a long non-coding RNA of Hemiscyllium ocellatum (epaulette shark), 632 nucleotides long. RefSeq lists it as uncharacterized. Lineage: Eukaryota; Metazoa; Chordata; Chondrichthyes; Orectolobiformes; Hemiscylliidae. The transcript has 3 exons. The record is from RefSeq and is a predicted model, not a curated record.